RNAcentral lists this ribosomal RNA (497 nucleotides) under uncultured bacterium. Its description in RNAcentral is "partial 16S ribosomal RNA". It matches the Rfam family "Bacterial small subunit ribosomal RNA", at positions 28 to 507 of the family's 1533-position model. The record is from RNAcentral.
GAUGAACGCUGGCGGCGUGCCUAAUACAUGCAAGUCGAGCGAACAGAUAAGGAGCUUGCUCCUUUGACGUUAGCGGCGGACGGGUGAGUAACACGUGGGUAACCUACCUAUAAGACUGGGAUAACUUCGGGAAACCGGAGCUAAUACCGGAUAACAUUUGGAACCGCAUGGUUCUAAAGUGAAAGAUGGUUUUGCUAUCACUUAUAGAUGGACCCGCGCCGUAUUAGCUAGUUGGUAAGGUAACGGCUUACCAAGGCGACGAUACGUAGCCGACCUGAGAGGGUGAUCGGCCACACUGGAACUGAGACACGGUCCAGACUCCUACGGGAGGCAGCAGUAGGGAAUCUCCCGCAAUGGGCGAAAGCCUGACGGAGCAACGCCGCGUGAGUGAUGAAGGGUUUCGGCUCGUAAAACUCUGUUAUUAGGGAAGAACAAAUGUGUAAGUAACUGUGCACGUCUUGACGGUACCUAAUCAGAAAGCCACGGCUAACUACGUG